AUUGAACGCUGGCGGCAGGCCUAACACAUGCAAGUCGAACGGUAGCACAGAGAGCUUGCUCUUGGGUGACGAGUGGCGGACGGGUGAGUAAUGUCUGGGAAACUGCCUGAUGGAGGGGGAUAACUACUGGAAACGGUAGCUAAUACCGCAUAACGUCGCAAGACCAAAGAGGGGGACCUUCGGGCCUGUGGCCAUCAGAUGUGCCCAGAUGGGAUUAGAUAGUAGGUGGGGUAAUGGCUCACCUAGGCGACGAUCCCUAGCUGGUCUGAGAGGAUGACCAGCCACACUGGAACUGAGACACGGUCCAGACUCCUACGGGAGGCAGCAGUGGGGAAUAUUGCACAAUGGGCGCAAGCCUGAUGCAGCCAUGCCGCGUGUAUGAAGAAGGCCUUCGGGUUGUAAAGUACUUUCAGCGGGGAGGAAGGUGUUGCGGUUAAUAACCGCAGCAAUUGACGUUACCCGCAGAAGAAGCACCGGCUAACUCCGUGCCAGCCGCCGCGGUAA
This 504-nucleotide ribosomal RNA is filed under the name uncultured bacterium. RNAcentral describes it as "partial 16S ribosomal RNA". It matches the Rfam family "Bacterial small subunit ribosomal RNA", at positions 30 to 523 of the family's 1533-position model. The record is from RNAcentral.